This 380-nucleotide ribosomal RNA is filed under the name uncultured eukaryote. RNAcentral describes it as "partial 18S ribosomal RNA". It matches the Rfam family "Eukaryotic small subunit ribosomal RNA", at positions 592 to 976 of the family's 1831-position model. The record is from RNAcentral.
CAAUAGCGUAUAUUAAAGUUGUUGCGGUUAAAAAGCUCGUAGUUGGAUUUCUGCUGAGGACGAUCGGUCCGCCCUCUGGGUGAGUAUCUGGCUCGGCCUUGGCAUCUUCUUGGAGAACGUUACUGCACUUGACUGUGUGGUGCGGUAUCCAGGACUUUUACUUUGAGGAAAUUAUAGUGUUUCAAGCAGGCGCACGCCUUGAAUACAUUAGCAUGGAAUAAUAAGAUAGGACCUUGGUUCUAUUUUGUUGGUUUCUAGAGCUGAGGUAAUGAUUAAUAGGGAUAGUUGGGGGCAUUCGUAUUUAACUGCCAGAGGUGAAAUUCUUGGAUUUGUUAAAGACGGACUACUGCGAAAGCAUUUGCCAAGGAUGUUUUCAUUGA